Pangasianodon hypophthalmus (striped catfish) is the source of this 3012-nucleotide long non-coding RNA. RefSeq lists it as uncharacterized. The transcript is spliced from 3 exons. The record is from RefSeq and is a predicted model, not a curated record. Lineage: Eukaryota; Metazoa; Chordata; Actinopteri; Siluriformes; Pangasiidae.
UUCAGAGAUAGUUGUAGGUUCUUCUUUUUCACGGAAGGGUAUCACCAAUUUUGUCCACGUCUGUACAUGUUAAAAUUUAGCUGUAAUAUGGCUGUGUAUGUGUGUUCAAGAUCAAUGUUCUUAUAUUUCAUCAUUUCUCUUCCAGGCUGUGUAAGUGUAAUCUGACAGAGGAAAGCUGUAGAGUUCUGUCCUCAGUUCUCAGCUCAAACUCCUCCAGUCUGAGAGAACUGAACCUGAGUAUCAAUAAACUGCAGAAUUUAGGAGUGAAGCUGCUCUCUGCUGGACUGAAGAAUCCACACUGUACACUGGAGAUACUGAGGAUGUGGUGCUGCAGUAUUACAGAUGAAGGUUGUGCUGCUCUGGCUUCAGCUCUGAGGUCAAACUCCUCAUCACACCUGAGAGAACUGGAUCUGAACUGUAAUAAUCCAGGAGAAUCAGGAGUGAAGCUGCUCUCUGAUCUACUGAAGGAUCCACACUGUAAACUGGAGACACUACACAUUACAAAUUAUAAAUUCACAAGGACUGGGGUAUGACAGGAGUCUCACCUCAGACCUCUUUUCCAGGAUAAAGCAGUUUUGGUGAAGCGUUAGAACCCGUCCCACAUUUCCAGCAGUUUGGGAGCUGAAUCAUUCAUAUUCAGAUGUAGAAGUUCCAUAACAAUAACCGGGACUGAUCACAUCCUUUUAUCCACUCAGCUACAAGUUACUUCAGGCUUUAAUAAUAUAUUUUACAAUCCAAAGUCAAAUCCUUCAGCAUCUGCACACAACACAGAGAUAUCAUCACAUCAUCACACUGAUUACACAAAUACACAUCCAUGUGUUGUAGCUGUUUAUAGCUUAUUUUUAGCUCCUUACAGUCAAAAAAUUAGGACACCCCAUUAAAUAUUCAGUUCUUUAUUAAGAAAUGUCAACAUCUCAAUUUCUGAUCUUGUUUUAAUUUGUAUCUGUAGAUGAAGGUGAUGUAAUUGCAUGUAAACAACAAAAAAUCACUUUGUUUUCAUUUAUUAAACAAAAGACAUCAACAAAAAUGAGUAUUUAAACUGAGAAAACGUUAGGACACCUGGAGGUAAUUUUAGCCAUUUUAAGUACAAAUAAAUGUGGGGGUGUCCUUACCUUUUCCAAGAAAUUGGAUUUUUUUUUUUAAUUACAUUUUACUGAUCAUUUUAAAAAGACUUUUCUUUGGUUUUAUUUGUUUAGUUAUAUUACUUGAAUCUCCCAAUAUUGUUAAAAUGAAGAUCAAAUGUCCAUAUGUUUAACUAUGUUAAAAAAAACACAGGCUUUCAUGGUGUGUCCUAAUUUUUUCACAUGAUUGUAUAUCUGUCAGGUUAAUCAGAGUGUGUUUCUGCUCAACAUGGCUUCAUUCAGUGACGCAUUUUUUUCUCCACAGAUGAUUGAUGCAAAGUUGUAAUAUUGAUUUAAUCCUUUUUUACUCAAAGAUUGUUCCUUGUUUGCUAACAUGUUUAAUGGUAAUCAUGGUAGUUUGACUGUUUAAGAUAUUUAGAUUUUUUAAACUAAAAAAUCUCUGAAACUCUUUAACUACAUGCACUGUAUGUAUUCGUGUCAUUUAAUACAGUUUUGUAGAUAUGUGGUGUACAUGUCAUUUACACUAUGUGUACAAAAUAAACAGUGACUGUGACUGAAACACAACAGUUCAGGUGUUUGAGGACUGUACUGUAAUUACACUUAGCAUGGACCACUACCAGGACUAACACGUGUUCCACCACACUGAGAAACUUCAAUGUUGUGUCACGACUCGUGAACGCUGAGCUGGACUUUCUGACUGUUCAUGAGGAAUCUUCUUGUAACCAUGGUGACAGUGACAGUCUCACUGUCAGGAGUGUAGGGAGUAGGAAUUAGCGCGAGUACAGCCUGGGGACCAUGUAUGGAAAUAAAUUUGUGCCAAAACUAAACAUCCAAAUCUAGCAUUUCACAAACACAAUCUGCUUUGCAAAGGAAAACUCAAACAAACAGAAAGUGAUUUGUAAAUACAAAGGGCAAAUAUAAAAAAAAUAUAAGCCUACAUCAUAUUUCACAAAUAAACACAAUCCAUUCUACAAAUCUUUGAACAAAUACAAAAUCCAAUGUAUACAAAUGCAGCUGAGCAACUUCCUCUUCCAGAACAGCAGUUGGUGCUAUUUGUCAGUGUACACUAGUCUCCCUGGAGAAGCUUUACAACACACAUGACAUUACGCCCAGGGAUACAAUUUCAAGUUAAUAGAUAUUCAGGUUGAACUUUCUUGAUUUCUCUACUCUAAAUAAAAGUUUAAAUGAAUUGGUUUAGACACUUCAUUCUACACCCAAAUUCUCUACGGAAUUUUAUACUCAAUUUUAUUUUCUCAAAACUGGUUGGUCUCAGGUUUCUCUUGAUUUCUACUUAGAAAAUUAACAAAAUUCCUCUGAACUUAUCUUGCUUUCACAAACAAAUGUUGCUGGCCUCUAAUUUAUGGACAUAACUCACUCCCCCACCCAUAGGUAUUUAAUUUGGAACAAUUACAAUAUACUUUUUAAAAAGAUAUCCUUAUUUUUUGAGAGAUGGUUUUUAGCAGGCAUAAUACAGUCAGUUAUUAAAUCAAGAAGGAAAGUUGCUCACUUAUUCUGAGUUUCUAGCUGUUUAGCACUUGUGGGGUGCCAUCAGUGACACCUGCUGGGUCCUGCCAGGCGGCCCCCUGUCCAGGGUCACUGAAUGUGACUGCAGCGAGAGGUAAUAAUCAGCCUGUUCAUCCAUCUUAGUUCAGACUCUGCUUAUGCUAGUUGUAGUUCUGUGAAGAAAAAAGAACACACAGAAAAGUGUGUUCAAAAGCAUAAGCAUGAGAUCAGGACUAAGAAAGUUAGACAUCAUCUCAAUAUGGGAGAACACAUACAGUCUUUGGACAGCAACUCCUCCAGCAGCUUGACAGCUGUGUUACAGGAUUCCUUCAUCCUGUAGUGUUUCUCUGCAGUCACUGUUGAGUGGGUCAGGUAUUCAGAAACCCUGCUCUUCUGCUACUCCGUCAGCCACUUGGUGGACGUCAGG